Molecule: long non-coding RNA, 851 nt
Filed under: Homo sapiens (human)
Lineage: Eukaryota; Metazoa; Chordata; Mammalia; Primates; Hominidae
Description: HSALNT0106517
Source: RNAcentral
GGUGGCUGCUGGAGAGAAACACUCUGUCUUCCUGCUUUGAGGACAGCUGAAGUCUUGCCACUUCUUCUGGAUGCUCUGACCAUCAGUAAGCCACCUCAGUCUCACCCUCCGCAGAAUGCAGGCCCACUCCGUUGCUGAAGGGCCUCCUCCUUGGGCCAGGGCGCCUGCUUCUGCCAGUGGCAUCAUCACCCCACUCCUCAGCCGCCAGUCAUCAGAGACACGGUCUGACUUUGUUACCCCGGCUGGAGUGCAGUGGUGCAAUCAUGGCUCACUGCAGCCUUAACCUCCUGGGCUCAAGUGAUCCUCUCGCCAAGGCUAGGAUAAGUAGCUAGGACUACAGAUGCGCCCCAUCACGCCCAGCUAAUUUUACAACUUCUGUAGAGAUGGAGUGUUGCUGGGUUGCCCAGGCUGGUCUUGAAUUCCUGGGCUCAAGCGAUCCUCCUGUGUCCGGAAUUGGUGGGUUCUUGGUCUCACUGACUUCAAGAAUGAAGCCGCGGACCCUCGCGGUGAGUGUUACAGUUCUUAAAGACAGCGUGUCCAGAGUUUGUUCCUUCUGAUGUUCAGAUGUGUUCAGAGUUUCUUCCUUCUGGUGGGUUCGUGGUCUCGCUGGCUUAGGGGUGAAGCUGCAGACCUUCGCGGUGAGUGUUACAGUUCUUAGGGCGGCGCGUCUGGAGUUGUCUGUUCCUCCCGGUGGGCUCGUAGUCUCGCUGGCUUCAGGAGUGAAGCUGCAGACCUUCGCGGUGAGUGUUACAGCUCAUAAAGGCAGCGUGGACCUACAGAGUGAGCAGUAGCAAGAUUUAUUGCAAAGAGCAAAAGAACAAAGCUUCCACAGCGUGGAAAGGGAUCCCAGC